ACGGUCUCAGUUCAGAUUGCAGGCUGCAACUCGCCUGCAUGAAGUUGGAAUUGCUAGUAAUCGCGAAUCAGAAUGUCGCGGUGAAUACGUUCCCGGGCCUUGUACACACCGCCCGUCACACCAUGAGAGUCGGGAACACCCGAAGUCCGUAGCCUAACCGCAAGGGGGGCGCGGCCGAAGGUGGGUUCGAUAAUUGGGGUGAAGUCGUAACAAGGUACC
Molecule: ribosomal RNA, 219 nt
Filed under: uncultured bacterium
Lineage: Bacteria
Description: partial 16S ribosomal RNA
Rfam family: Bacterial small subunit ribosomal RNA
Source: RNAcentral